AACGAACGCUGGCGGCAGGCCUAACACAUGCAAGUCGAGCGGACCCUUCGGGGUUAGCGGCGGACGGGUGAGUAACGCGUGGGAAUAUGCCCUUCUCUACGGAAUAGUCCUGGGAAACUGGGGGUAAUACCGUAUACGCCCUUUGGGGGAAAGAUUUAUCGGGGAAGGAUUAGCCCGCGUUGGUUUAGGUAGUUGGUGGGGUAAUGGCCUACCAAGCCGACGAUCCAUAGCUGGUUUGAGAGGAUGAUCAGCCACACUGGGACUGAGACACGGCCCAGACUCCUACGGGAGGCAGCAGUGGGGAAUCUUAGACAAUGGGGGCAACCCUGAUCUAGCCAUGCCGCGUGAGUGAUGAAGGCCUUAGGGUUGUAAAGCUCUUUCAGCUGGGAAGAUAAUGACGGUACCAGCAGAAGAAGCCCCGGCUAACUCCGUG
Molecule: ribosomal RNA, 433 nt
Filed under: uncultured bacterium
Lineage: Bacteria
Description: partial 16S ribosomal RNA
Rfam family: Bacterial small subunit ribosomal RNA
Source: RNAcentral